Non-coding RNA from Potamilus streckersoni, 76 nucleotides. NCBI's taxonomy places the organism in Eukaryota, Metazoa, Mollusca, Bivalvia, Unionida, Unionidae. The record is from the annotation of a GenBank genome assembly.
GCUCUGGUGGCCUAGUGGUUAGAGCAUCUGCCUUGGAUGCGGGAGGUCAUGGGUUCGAUCCCUGGUAAGACAUGCA